AGUGAACGCUGGCGGUAGGCCUAACACAUGCAAGUCGAACGGCAGCACAGUAAGAGCUUGCUCUUACGGGUGGCGAGUGGCGGACGGGUGAGGAAUACAUCGGAAUCUACUUUUUCGUGGGGGAUAACGUAGGGAAACUUACGCUAAUACCGCAUACGACCUACGGGUGAAAGCAGGGGAUCUUCGGACCUUGCGCGAUUGAAUGAGCCGAUGUCGGAUUAGCUAGUUGGCGGGGUAAAGGCCCACCAAGGCGACGAUCCGUAGCUGGUCUGAGAGGAUGAUCAGCCACACUGGAACUGAGACACGGUCCAGACUCCUACGGGAGGCAGCAGUGGGGAAUAUUAGACAAUGGGCGCAAGCCUGAUCCAGCCAUACCGCGUGGGUGAAGAAGGCCUUCGGGUUGUAAAGCCCUUUUGUUGGGAAAGAAAAGCAGCAGGUUAAUACCCCGCUGUUCUGACGGUACCCAAAGAAUAAGCACCGGCUAGCUUCGUG
RNAcentral lists this ribosomal RNA (492 nucleotides) under uncultured bacterium. Its description in RNAcentral is "partial 16S ribosomal RNA". It matches the Rfam family "Bacterial small subunit ribosomal RNA", at positions 29 to 507 of the family's 1533-position model. The record is from RNAcentral.